Molecule: unclassified non-coding RNA, 253 nt
Filed under: uncultured Chlamydiales bacterium
Lineage: Bacteria; Pseudomonadati; Chlamydiota; Chlamydiia; Chlamydiales
Description: contains 16S-23S intergenic spacer region
Rfam family: Bacterial small subunit ribosomal RNA
Source: RNAcentral
UACGGAGGGUGCAAGCAUUGAUCGGAUUUACUGGGCGUAAAGGGCGCGUAGGCGGUUGGAUAAGUCAGAUGUGAAAUUCCGGGGCUCAACCUCGGAGCUGCAUUUGAAACUGUUCAGCUAGAGUACAGUUAGGGAAAACGGAAUUCCACGUGUAGCGGUGAAAUGCGUAGAUAUGUGGAAGAACACCGGUGGUGAAGACGGUUUUCUGGGCUGUCACUGACGCUGAGGCGCGAGAGCUAGGGGAGCAAACAGG